CAGUCGCCACGGUAAUACGAAGGGGGCUAGCGUUGCUCGGAAUGACUGGGCGUAAAGGGCGCGUAGGCGGCGAUCAAAGUCAGGCGUGAAAUUCCUGGGCUCAACCUGGGGGCUGCGUUUGAUACUUGAUUGCUAGAGUGGGGAAGAGGGUCGUGGAAUUCCCAGUGUAGAGGUGAAAUUCGUAGAUAUUGGGAAGAACACCGGUGGCGAAGGCGGCGACCUGUCCUUGACUGACGCUGAGGCGCGAAAGCGUGGGGAGCAAACAGGAUUAGAUACCCCAGUAGUCCCUGUCUCUUAUACA
Molecule: ribosomal RNA, 301 nt
Filed under: uncultured bacterium
Lineage: Bacteria
Description: partial 16S ribosomal RNA
Rfam family: Bacterial small subunit ribosomal RNA
Source: RNAcentral